This 255-nucleotide unclassified non-coding RNA is filed under the name uncultured Ascomycota. RNAcentral's name for it is "sequence contains 5.8S rRNA gene, ITS2, 28S rRNA gene". The record is from RNAcentral. Lineage: Eukaryota; Fungi; Ascomycota.
AACGCACAUUGCGCCCUCUGGCAUUCCGGAGGGCACACCUGUCCGAGCGCCGUCGCAACACUGAGCCCCCCGGCUUGCGUUGGCGGACGACCAGUCCCCGGGUUUCUCUCGGGAGGGUCGCUGCCCAAACCUUGACGGCGCCGCGCCGCGGCCGACCCAGCGCAACUGCUCGAGGUCGACGCGCGGAGGCGGCGGCCCAACGAAAAAGACGAACAGCUUGGCCUCGGAUCAGGUGGGGAUACCCGCUGAACUUAA